This 252-nucleotide ribosomal RNA is filed under the name uncultured bacterium. Its description in RNAcentral is "partial 16S ribosomal RNA". It matches the Rfam family "Bacterial small subunit ribosomal RNA", at positions 524 to 775 of the family's 1533-position model. The record is from RNAcentral.
UACGUAGGGGGCAAGCGUUAUCCGGAUUUACUGGGCGUAAAGAGCGCGUAGGCGGUUCCGUAAGUUGGUUGUGAAAGUUCGAGGCUCAACCUCGAAACUGCGUCCAAUACUGCGGGGCUGGAGUGCAAGAGAGGCAAGUGGAAUUUGCGGUGUAGUAGUGAAAUGCGUAGAUAUCGCAAGGAACACCAGUGGCGAAGGCGGCUUGCUAGCUUGUAACUGACGCUGAGGCGCGAAAGCUAGGGGAGCGAACGG